This is a non-coding RNA of Cordylochernes scorpioides, 276 nucleotides long. Lineage: Eukaryota; Metazoa; Arthropoda; Arachnida; Pseudoscorpiones; Chernetidae. The record is from the annotation of a GenBank genome assembly.
CCAUCGGUGGUUCAGUGGUAGAAUGCUCGCCUGCCACGCGGGGGGCGUGGUUAAAACUUAUUUAUAUAUUAUACAAGAAUGACAUCCACCGCGCCAAUUUAUAAUUGUAACGAAUAGUAUUUGAAUAAAAGCAUUUAAUCGGGAAAACCCGGGCGUUGCCCGGGUCAUUCGGCUAGUUAAAAUAUACAAGUAUCAGAGUCAUGCACAAUUCUGUCACCGUUUACUUUUGGUUCUGUGGUAGAAUGCUCGCCCCGGGUUCGAUUCCCGGCCGAUGCA